Bos taurus (domestic cattle) is the source of this 314-nucleotide long non-coding RNA. The record is from Ensembl. Lineage: Eukaryota; Metazoa; Chordata; Mammalia; Artiodactyla; Bovidae.
CUGAGGAACAGUCCAUGCAGCAUAACCACAUGCCCCAGGACAUCUGGGACAGUUUCUGCCUCAGGUGUGGAAUCAACCAUUUCUCAAGGAGCCCGGAAUCCUUAAAGCACCUUCUAGCUCUGAAAUGUAACGACAAGUCUGAUAUUUCCCCCACUAAAGCUAACGUGCAGAAAUAUAAUGGACUUGAGGGGAUGUGGUGAAAAUCUCCCUACCCAGGACCAGCUUAAGGUCAUCGAGCCACUGGACUCCAUAAUGCCAACCAUUCCCUGCAAAUACUCCCAGCCUGCCCAGGAAAUCACUCCUGGCAGAAACAC